This 717-nucleotide ribosomal RNA is filed under the name uncultured Mesoplasma sp. RNAcentral describes it as "bacterial SSU rRNA". It matches the Rfam family "Bacterial small subunit ribosomal RNA", at positions 708 to 1435 of the family's 1533-position model. Lineage: Bacteria; Bacillati; Mycoplasmatota; Mollicutes; Entomoplasmatales; Entomoplasmataceae. The record is from RNAcentral.
CCUGUGGCGAAAGCGGUUUACCNGCUUGUUAUUGACGCUGAGGCACGAAAGCGUGGGGAGCAAAUAGGAUUAGAUACCCUAGUAGUCCACGCCGUAAACGUUGAGUACUAGGUGUCGGGAAUUAAUCUCGGCGCCGCAGCUAACGCAUUAAGUACUCCGCCUGAGUAGUAUGCACGCAAGUGUGAAACUCAAAGGAAUUGACGGGGACCCGCACAAGUGGUGGAGCAUGUGGUUUAAUUCGAAGCAACACGAAGAACCUUACCAGGGCUUGACAUCCAGUGCAAAGGCAUAGAGAUAUGCUGGAGGCUAACAUUGAGACAGGUGGUGCAUGGUUGUCGUCAGUUCGUGCCGUGAGGUGUUUGGUUAAGUCCAGUAACGAACGCAACCCUUGUCAUUAGUUACUAACAUUUAGUUGAGGACUUUAAUGAGACUGCUAGUGUAAGCUAGAGGAAGGUGGGGAUGACGUCAAAUCAUCAUGCCCCUUAUGUCCUGGGCUACACACGUGCUACAAUGGCUGAUACAAAGAGUCGCAAUCUCGCAAGGAGGAGCUAAUCUCAUAAAAUCAGUCUCAGUUCGGAUUGAAGGCUGCAACUCGCCUUCAUGAAGCCGGAAUCACUAGUAAUCGCGAAUCAGCUAUGUCGCGGUGAAUACGUUCUCGGGUCUUGUACACACCGCCCGUCNCNNCANGAGAGUUGGUAACACCAGAAGCAGGUAGCU